GUAACGACAACCAGGGAAACGCCUGUCAGGCUUACAGAUCACAGCGCUGCCAGAAUCACCUCACCCGCCUCACCAUGACAUGCUGGAUGAACAUCUUGGGUAUUCUAACUGCAAUCUGUGCAGUGUGUGCAGCAAGUAAAGACAGUGUUAAUCAAACUGAGCCCCGUGUGAUAAGUACUGAGGGAGAAACAGUGACUCUCACCUGUGAAUAUAAGACAACAAGUAACCAGCCUUACCUCUUCUGGUACAAACAGCAACUGGGUACACCAGACUACCUACUGGGACGUGGAAGUUUUGGAACUGGCCAUAACGGCACUGAGUUCAGUGAGAGAUUCCACUGCACAUUCUCCCCCAGCUCUGUUCCUCUGAUCAUCAGGAACCUGCAAAUGUCUGACUCUGCUGUCUACUACUGUGCCCUGCAGCCCACAUGGUAUCGCCAGUAUCCACAAUCAGUCCCUGAGCAUCUUAUGUCCGUUUACACUCUUGAUAAAAAUGAGACAUCACAAAUCGACCCUCACCUGUCUGGAACAAGGACUAAAGAGAAACUCUAUCUGUACCUCUCGUCUGCUGAACUCUCAGACUCUGCUCUCUACUACUGUGCCCUGCAGCCCACAGUGGCUGACAAACACACAUCCCCAUACAAAAACCUGCCAUGA
Sardina pilchardus (European sardine) is the source of this 656-nucleotide non-coding RNA. The record is from the annotation of a RefSeq genome assembly. NCBI's taxonomy places the organism in Eukaryota, Metazoa, Chordata, Actinopteri, Clupeiformes, Clupeidae.